RNAcentral lists this long non-coding RNA (304 nucleotides) under Phoenix dactylifera (date palm). RNAcentral's name for it is "long non-coding RNA (PDAC_LNC007546)". Lineage: Eukaryota; Viridiplantae; Streptophyta; Magnoliopsida; Arecales; Arecaceae. The record is from RNAcentral.
AGCCAUUAGAGUUCUUUAAGAAUUCUGCAUUAAGGAUCAAAGUCUUUGGAGCUUAAGACUUAAAUCAAGUUUUCGUGUGGAUCAACGUUGGAGGGUGAACACUUGGGCACCUAGUGGAAAUUCUGCAUAUUGGAUUAGCGUUAGAGGUAUUCUUCUAUUUCUGCAUUUAUAUUAUAUUAUUUGAUUGCUUCCAUUAAGGUGAUCUUGGCUUAUAAGGGUUUUAUGUUAAGGAACUUUAUCAAGAAAUUUUUAAAAUUCCUAGCUUCCGCUGUACAUUAUAACAUGCUAAAACCCUUCAGGUUAA